RNAcentral lists this non-coding RNA (84 nucleotides) under unclassified sequences. RNAcentral describes it as "S15-Methanomicrobia ribosomal protein leader". It matches the Rfam family "S15-Methanomicrobia ribosomal protein leader". The record is from RNAcentral.
AGCACUUCUGGAUAGUGCUGGCAGAUGUAAGUCCGACGUGCGGCAACGCACGGGCAGGGGUCAUUCCCCUGCCUCUGGGAUUAC